GGACAAUCAGUAUAUAUUUACAUCAAAUUAGAAGUUGUGUAGUAUGUAUAGUACUGUACUGCACAUAAGUUUCUAUCAUUUAAGUUUGAUUAACUAUUAUAAAUUUGGCCUCAUGUAAUUAAACUUCUAUCAUUUAAGCAUGAUUAGCUAUUAAAAAUUUGGCCUCAUGUGAUCAAUUAAGUUGCUAUUCAGCACAAAAAUUAGUGACUAACCAGCCCCCCCCC
RNAcentral lists this long non-coding RNA (224 nucleotides) under Solanum tuberosum (potato). RNAcentral describes it as "long non-coding RNA (STUB_LNC005589)". Lineage: Eukaryota; Viridiplantae; Streptophyta; Magnoliopsida; Solanales; Solanaceae. The record is from RNAcentral.